CAGUAGCCGCGGGAAUACGUAGGUGGCAAGCGUUGUCCGGAAUUAUUGGGCGUAAAGGGCUCGCAGGCGGUUUCUUAAGUCUGAUGUGAAAGCCCCCGGCUCAACCGGGGAGGGACAUUGGAAACUGGGAAACUUGAGUGCAGAAGAGGAGAGUGGAAUUCCACGUGUAGCGGUGAAAUGCGUAGAGAUGUGGAGGAACACCAGUGGCGAGGGCGACUCCCUGGUCUGUAACUGACGCUGAGGAGCGAAAGCGUGGGGAGCGAACAGGAUUAGAUACCCGUGUAGUCCCUGUCUCUUAUAC
Molecule: ribosomal RNA, 301 nt
Filed under: uncultured bacterium
Lineage: Bacteria
Description: partial 16S ribosomal RNA
Rfam family: Bacterial small subunit ribosomal RNA
Source: RNAcentral